CGAAAAAAAAAAACGCCUAGCGAUGUCCCACGCAGUCGAAGGCAAACCUCCUGUCGCACCAGAGAAAAAGGCCAAAAAUAACCUACAAAAAAAUCUAUGAAAUUAAACCAGCAAAAAAAACUGCUAAACGAACCGCACGCACGUCCGAGUGACGCCUCCUGCUCCUCUCGAUCCCCUCGACCUACGAUCUGUGACUGCAGAUGCACGAGAUCGCCACUGCCGCGGACCUCGCAAGGAAGACACGGACGAGAUCCCAAUCCGCUGCUCCUCCUCUCCCGAGAUGCAGCCGCCGCCGCCGAACCAGGGAGACACCAGUGACCGUCACCGCCGUCGUGGAUCACCAGGACUCCGCCGCCUGCACCGCCACCGCCGUGCCUCAGAUACGUCACGGAUCACCGGGACGCGACUAUCGCAGAUCACUAGGACACCGCCGGCAGCGGCGCCUCAGAUACCAGCGACCGACGGCGGCGCCUCAAAUAUCGGCGACCGGCGGUGAUCUAAGACCAACGAGUCGGCGCCACAUCCCUGGUACUUCCCUCCCCCAUCCGCCAACCCUCUACCCUCCCCCUCUACAAAGGCCAGUGCGGCCCUGUCCGUCCGACCUUUCCGGACGUGACCAAGGAUGGUUGUGCAUCCCGACGCCUCUCUUCUCCAUUGAUCCCCCAUCUCCUCAAGGUGAAUCUUCUCUAGAAGGUACCCCUCUCCUCUCCAACGAUCCACCAUCUCCUCUUCUGUUUUUAUCCCUCGAUUGGUAACCCAAGAACUUGAUGGCUCUGGACUGAGAUGUAGACUUCCCAGUGGAACUACCUGUGCGCAGGAGGAUCUGAUGAUGCCGAACGCAACCAUGGAGGACUAGGAGCACGGGGAGAGGAUGUGGGAGUGGGUGGUCUCCGUGGUUAGCUACUUCGCUUUUAUUUUUGAUGGUCUGAGGUAGGAGAGCUAGAUGCACACCCUUAGCUCGACUUUUAUGAUUCAGUUCCGUCAGAGUAGCUUUUACAUGAGAAAUGCGCCGACAUAUUCAGCCAGAGUACUGGGCUUUGGACUGUGAACUUCUUCUAAGCUCACCUCGAACCCGUGAAAAAUAAAAUCAUGUCAGUGGAACUUUGUGUACUUUUUCCAUAGCAUUCAUUUAUAAUCAGUUAAUUUGGUCAGAAAACGAUUUUGCUGUGCGUACAACAGUUAGACAUAUUUUUUUUACAAUCCUGAUUUAAGCCACACAUCUCACAGAGCUGAAGUGAUCCAGCAAUUGACAGAUGCAUAUCAUCCAGAUCCAGGGGUACGUAUAGCAUCUGCAAUCUCAUCUGGGAGUGUCGUACGUAUAGCAUCCAGGAUGGCUAUUUAAAACUUUGAUAGCAUUACUUGUCAGAAAAAUGUCAUCCAAAAGUUGAAGUGAGCUCAAAACAAGUGAAUUCAUAAACACUUGAAAACCAAAAACUGAACUGAGGUUUUACUUUGUUUGUCAUGCAAACUUCAGGUUUAGCUUGACCCAUCUAAUACUAAUAUGGGAGAUGGACAGGACAUUCUAGAUCAUCAAAUUGUUGAGGAGGAAGAAGGCAUUGUGCUUGGAGGCGGGACUGACAGUGACUAUCAAGAGAUACCUAUAUGGUUAACCUGUUGAGACCAAUGUCCAAGAUUCAGUGUGGUAAUCUGCAGCAAUCAAGUUAACAAAUCUGAAGCAUUUUAGCAACGCAACGGUGCAAGUGCUCUUUUGGUGGAAGAUGAAGCUUUUGUUGGACUUGUGAUGUUUUUUCUGAAGAAGACUGACAAUGAACUCAAAAGAUAGAUGUCAUGCGGUAUUUGUGAUAUAGAACUAAAUGAUCGAGGACUAUAGUAGCUCCAGAAAGGAUGGCAUUCUUCAUAUUGUGAUGCAACGUCAUGAUACUAGGUUGUUCCUAUUUGUUCGGAUGCAAGUUCUAUAAUAGUAGGUUGCUACUACGGGAUUACCUAAUGUUGCUUCAUGUCUGUUAUAUCUUCCAAUAUUUACAGAAACUUCCGAAACUAACACCAGGUCAGGACAUUCUGAUGAUAACCUUCCAGUUUUACUGAAUCAUUGUUACUUGAGUAAUCUCUAUUCCUAAAGUGUUCUUCAAAGGUGCUCAUCAAAUCUGUCGAUACACAACACUGCAGUUAUUGGUGGUUUACACCGGAUAGUUUCUAGACCUUUAUCGCAAGAUGGACGAACUUGGCAUCUGAGCCAGUAAUCUACCUCAUCAAUAGUGUGAUGUCCCUUUGCAUGAAGUUAGGCCAACAUCAGAAGGUCCGUAGCCUUUUUGAGGAGAUGAAGGUGAAGAAUAUUAAGCCGGAUAACCUCACAUGUUGCCUUCUAAUGACUAGCCAUGCGGCAUUGAACAAGAUAGAUGUUGUUGGAGAAGUUUUAGAAGAAAUGCAAGAGAAGGAUGUAGUCUAGGGUGGUCUGCAUAUAGCAUGGUUUCUAUCUACCUGAGUGUUGGUUUGGUUUUAAAAAACAGUCCGCUCCGAAGAAACUCGAGGGCCUUGCUUUUAGAAGGUAACAUAAAUAUCUAGAUUGAUUGUUCAUGGUCCUGGGGCUGUUUGUUAUAGUUCAGGCAAGAGUUUAGUCCAUAAUACUCAAUUUCAUCCUGCUUGCAUCACCACCACCGUGUAAUAUAACAUAGUACUAUGCACAACGAUGCAUCAGCACUAAGCUCAACAUCUAAAUAACUUGAAAUGUUGGCUCAGAGUAUUUUUACUUCAUAAAAAUGAUUUUAUUUUUCCUGAUGCAUUGCUAUUUAGGCUUCAUUAUUCUGCAAUUUCUGUCAAAGUAAUAAACAUGACAUGUAUAAUUUGGUAAUGAACCGCAAAAUAUAUAGAUGUCCCUUGUUUUGUUAUUUAGGCUUCAUUAUUCUAAAAAAUAUAUUUAUUACUUUGGUUACUCAGAUUACCACAAAAUAUAUAAGUUAUUUAGGCUUAUAUUUUGUUAUUGUUCUACAAAAUAUAUAAGUUUUUUAGGCAUAUACAAUAACUUAGCGCAGAAUAUAUUUUGUUAUUUAGGCUUCAUUAUUCUACAAUUUCUGGCAAAUCAAUAAACAUGC
Long non-coding RNA from Triticum aestivum (bread wheat), 3050 nucleotides. RefSeq lists it as uncharacterized. The transcript has 3 exons. Lineage: Eukaryota; Viridiplantae; Streptophyta; Magnoliopsida; Poales; Poaceae. The record is from RefSeq and is a predicted model, not a curated record.